GUCGGAGGAAGUGGGGAUGACGUCAAAUCAUCAUGCCCUUAUGACCUGGGCUACACACGUGCUACAAUGGGCGGUACAAAGGGUCGCGAACCCGCGAGGGGGAGCCGAAUCCCAAAAAAGCCGCUCUCAGUUCGGAUUGCAGGCUGCAACUCGCCUGCAUGAAGCCGGAAUCGCUAGUAAUCGCGGAUCAGCAUGCCGCGGUGAAUACGUUCCCGGGCCGUU
RNAcentral lists this ribosomal RNA (222 nucleotides) under uncultured Geobacillus sp. RNAcentral's name for it is "partial 16S ribosomal RNA". It matches the Rfam family "Bacterial small subunit ribosomal RNA", at positions 1162 to 1382 of the family's 1533-position model. Lineage: Bacteria; Bacillati; Bacillota; Bacilli; Caryophanales; Anoxybacillaceae. The record is from RNAcentral.